GCUUAACCUUCGGGAGGGCGCUUACCACUUUGUGAUUCAUGACUGGGGUGAAGUCGUAACAAGGUAACCGUAGGGGAACCUGCGGUUGGAUCACCUCCUUACCUGAAAGAA
Molecule: ribosomal RNA, 111 nt
Filed under: Salmonella bongori serovar 48:z35:-
Lineage: Bacteria; Pseudomonadati; Pseudomonadota; Gammaproteobacteria; Enterobacterales; Enterobacteriaceae
Description: partial 16S ribosomal RNA
Rfam family: Bacterial small subunit ribosomal RNA
Source: RNAcentral